RNAcentral lists this ribosomal RNA (710 nucleotides) under uncultured bacterium. RNAcentral's name for it is "bacterial SSU rRNA". It matches the Rfam family "Bacterial small subunit ribosomal RNA", at positions 778 to 1497 of the family's 1533-position model. The record is from RNAcentral.
UUAGAUACCCUGGUAGUCCACGCAGUAACCGAUGAAUGCUAGUUGUCCGGGGCGAUUGAGUUUUGGGUGACACAGCGAAAGCGUUAAGCAUUCCACUGGGGGAGUACGCCGGCAACGGUGAAACUCAAAGGAAUUGACGGGGGCCCGCACAAGCGGAGGAACAUGUGGUUUAAUUCGAUGAUACGCGAGGAACCUUACCCGGGCUCAAACGCAGGAGGGAUGUUUUUGAAAGGAGGCAGCCAGCAAUGGUCUCCUGCGAGGUGCUGCAUGGUUGUCGUCAGCUCGUGCCGUGAGGUGUCGGCUUAAGUGCCAUAACGAGCGCAACCCCUACUACAGUUGCCAUCGCGUGAUGGCGGGCACUCUGUGGGGACUGCCUGCGCAAGCAGUGAGGAAGGCGGGGAUGACGUCAAAUCAGCACGGCCCUUACGUCCGGGGCGACACACGUGUUACAAUGGCAGGUACAGCGGGAAGCCACCCGGCGACGGGGCGCGGAACCCGAAAACCUGUCUCAGUUCGGAUUGGAGUCUGCAACCCGACUCCAUGAAGCUGGAUUCGCUAGUAAUCGCGCAUCAGCCACGGCGCGGUGAAUACGUUCCCGGGCCUUGUACACACCGCCCGUCAAGCCAUGGAAGCCGGGGGUGCCUGAAGUGCGUGACCGCAAGGAGCGCCCUAGGGUAAAACCGGUGACUGGGGCUAAGUCGUAACAAGGU